UAAUCCUCUUGCAAUUUUAAC
Molecule: non-coding RNA, 21 nt
Organism: Caenorhabditis elegans
Lineage: Eukaryota; Metazoa; Nematoda; Chromadorea; Rhabditida; Rhabditidae
Source: Ensembl